CAACAACUCAGGAGUGAGAUCUCAAAACAUCCAGACACACAGCGUGAGCGGAAUAUUUACAGGGGAAAUACGUUUUCAAAGCCCCAAAAGCAAAUAACUGGAACUAUAAAUCACAGAAUGAGGCUGAUACAGAUAUUCAUCAACAACAAUGACUUUCAAAUCUAAUUUAAUAUUUUGGAAUAGACAAAAAAAAAUCCAGCAGCCUAUUUACAUUUAUGUAAUUGCUUAAGUAGCAUGCACCAGGGAAACAUAAGUUACCUGUUGUAGUUGGAGGAUCUGGAAUGAUUUGAACGUUUUUCAAAUUAUUACAAAAUGAUUUACAAUAUUAAAUAGCUGUACUGUCCAUGGAAAGGGGCAAGUCACUGGUACAUCAUUCUUUUGGAAUUAUUGGAUGAAUGUAGUCUUGGACAUUCAUGGUUUCCAGAUGAUAAAGUAUUUGGACGUCCGGCAACUUUUCCUCUCGUGCCGCUGACAGGUUGACAUUGUGGAAGGAGUUAAAUGUCUGUGCAUCUUCAUGAAAUCUGUGUGGUAGGUUGGGGAACAGAGGGAAUAUUGUUUCUAAAGAAGUUCCAUGAUCAUGCUUACAAUCUUUUGUUUUCUGCAUAACUAUCAGCCUUCAAACUCAGCAUCACUCAGGAAAGAUUGUUGCCAUGAAUUUGACUCAUUGGAUUAAAAUGGUAAUCUCGCUUUAUUUGUCAUUUUGUCUCUCUUUCUCGCCGUCUGCAGAUGGUUUCCUGUGUGAGGUCAAGCAACCAUAACCAUGAUUAACUGGAAAUAGGAAUAAACAGUCCUCUGAGCCCCUCUCAGUCAUUAUUCCCAAAUAUGACAGAGUGUUAAUAAUGAGAGAAACAAAGAAACUGGAGCCACAAAGUGUGAGCAGAGCAGAGAUAUGACCGGACACUAAUGAAGACGUAUGUUGCCAAUACACCUCACUGUGUGUGUGUUUGUGUGUGGUUAGGAAAAAUGGACUUCAUCGGGAUUUAAAUUGCCUCUAAAGGAGCUUGAUAAAUGUGAGAAGGAAAAAAAAAUUACACUUGUCAGUUACGAUUUAUUCCAAUAGUAAAACGUCUAUCACUCUAUCAUCCAUGUAAUGUCUGUGAAUGUGUCCACCAUUACCACACCCUACUGAUUCAUAAAAUAUCUCCAUCUCUAUCUCCUUGCUAUGUGGUUGUGAGUCUAAAGUGUGUUGGAAUACGUGUUUGUUUCAAGAAGUGAUAUUGUAUUAUUACAAUGCCCACAACAAAAUAUGUCAAAAUGUGCUAAAAACAUUGCUGAAAUCUUAUUUAUCUACGUUUGAGUCGUGCAUCUAUUUGAUGUCAUGUGACGUGUGUCUUCUCCUCCGUUCACACGGGCCAUCUGGAUAAAAACCACUUCAUUACAGACACGCUGAGAGAGCCAGAUUAAGUGGGGAAAAGGGGAUGGAGGAGGAUUUUGAAACGCUUUAGUAGUGACAUUUCUCCAAAGCCACCUGCAAGCUGCAAAUAGGAAAACAUCUGAACAACUUCAGACGGUUCGAGAUGGCUCUCAUGAAGCGUUAAACACAAACAGAGGUGUGUUUCUGCAAACUGUCAAUGGCCCAAUUGCAUUGUGGGUAAUGAAGGUGUUCAAAACUUUCCAUCGUGGUGAAUCUGCUUUCAUGAGGUUCAGCAGGAUCAUUUUCCCAGUUUGCAAAAAAAUGUGAAAGGCCUGCUGUGUGUUUUCAUGGACUUCUAAUGUGUAUUUAACUUCACAAUGAACUGCGUAUAGUCUCCCCGAGGCCUUGAUAUGAUCAGUGCCAUCCUCAAUACACAUGACAACCUUCAACCGGCUUAAUGAUGCUCUUUUUCUCUGCUGGAGUAAAAUGUCAAGUAAUGUUAGACAGUUUUUUGAACUGUCUCAGGUUCCUUCUUUCAACCCAAGGAGACAGAGCCUGAAUGUGGACGACGGUGGAGAGAGAAGAGGAAAGGACAGGAAGAGGAGAACGAAGCUCUGCAGCAGCUGAAUUGAUUUUUUAGGGAGAGACGAGGAGAAGUAGGAAACCACUGCUACGUCCCCUCGAGUCUCCUCAGACACACACACACACACACACACACACACACACACACACACACACACACACACACCUGCACUUACACACUCUGCUGAUUCAGCACAUGACACACACUCACACACACACACUCUUUCAUUUUAACCUUGCUCAAAACCAGAUUCAAAUCAGUGGAGAACAUUGAAAAAAUGUAAUUGUUUGUUUUUUAUUCCCAUCAGCUAAAUUGGCUUACGCUGUUACACUUCAAAAAGCAACACGGAACGGUAAUAAUGAAAAAUACCUGUGUGUGUUUGAGUACAAUUAAUUUCAAUGAUAUUGAUCUGCUCAGAGGAAAAUGCUCUGAGGCUGCUGCCACUGUUUCCUCUGGAGGCCACGACAGCGCUUUGAUUCAUGAUGAGUCAGCAGGAUAUAUAUAUAUAUAUAUUUUUUUUUGUUUUAACUAGGGAUUUCAGUAAAGUAUGAAUGGCUCUUUGGAUCUUUGCUUUGUAGGUUGAAGAUGCAUUUCCGUAAAGUUGAAGUCAAAUGAGGAUGUGAGUCGCGUAUUAUCGCAUGUAGGAGGAACGUUUAAAGUAUUUCCCUGCACACCAGACAGCGGUGAUCAAAGGUUUUUGAAGCCAAACGUUGAAGUGGUGUCAGGCUGGGAGAGUAUAUUAUUAUAUUGUGCAACAACCAAGAGGCUCAAUAAUCCAAAACAACGCUUUUUAUUUUCUCUCAACCUUGAGAUAGACACCACAGACCAGAUCCAGAACUCGCUCCAUUGUACCUGACGAAUUUAAACGGUUUGAAAGUUUUUAACCAACUAAAUGAGCGAGCUUCAUGCUCAUACUAUAAGCAGCUGAGGAAAUCUGCCAGUGACAGUCGUAAUAUCGCACAGAAGCCGUCAGAAAUCAAGGAUAACUAGUUUCAGAAAUCACUAAGAAAUGAUCAUCUGCCACCUUUAUUGUUCACUUCUUGAAAUGUAAGGUGUAAGGAAAGAUGUAGCAACCCUAACAAAGAGAAGGGCCCCUAAACAUUUUCUGAGUACAUGUAUAUUUUCAACACAAUUGGACGUGUAGUUUACUUUAAAUAAUUCACACGGUUACUAAUUAAACUCUGAACAAAGCAGGAAGAAACCACCGGCUAACCUAUUGAUUGCUUUAAUAAUUUAGUUGACAACUCUAAAGGUUAGAACUCUUCUCAUUUGGGUGCUUUAAGUGUCUUUAAAUAAAAGCCACAGCUGCAUCGUCAACUUUUCUUGUAUUGUCUUGUUUUAGACUUCCCAAAAGAUUCAACUGAAUGAAUUAUCAGUUGCGGAAAAUAACCAUGCCUGAGUUUUUCUUUUACUGAGGCUCAGCGGUGUGAAUAUGUGUGAAUAGAAAGUAAUGAAAAACAGCACGUUUGCUCAACCAGCUUAACCCAGACAAAUAAAGGUUAAUGAAAAAAGAGCUCCUAUACUGGAGGUGUAAUUUCUCUUCGGGGCUGCAGAGCGUGUGUAGCGUAGUAAAGACACACCACGCCUGCGUCUUUCUCUGCUUACAGCUCACACAGCCACAGGGAAACCUUGUAAAGUAACUGUAUAAUUAUGCAAAUGCACCUGACUGCGUCUGCUCUCGAAAACAAGGGAUUCUUCAAUGCGACUCAACAGUUGCAGAGAUUUCUUAGUAUAAUGAAAGGAAAUAUGAAUACGGAUCAGAGAACUACUUUUUCUGCCCCAUCAGCUUUUUUCAAAAGCAUUGCAGCACCACAGAUCUACUUUUCCUCUCGUCCCCCUGUAUCGUUGCACACUGGAUCGUCUUUAAAUGCAUGUAAAACUCGUCGAAGAAAAGAGAAAUGCGCAGUAUUUGACUUAUUUUUGUCACUGUUUGUUUAUCUUUUCAAUACACGUUCUGGCCACUGUCAACCCAAAAAUAUUGAAAAAAUUGUAAAACCGGAAUGGAAGAAAUGCAUUUAAGAAACUCAGUAAAUGAAUGUAGUCCCUCCAAACAAAUGUAUGUGCUUGAUGUUUAUUAAUCAACAUCUUUAACAUAAAGUAUGGUAUCCACAAAAGUUGUGUUGUGCACUUAAUACCCCUUGAUGAUAUACAUUGUUUCGUCUCUUUUAUCUUCAUUAUUUUAAUAAGGCUUCUGCUUGCUUUGGAAUUAUGAUUAAUUAACUUUUGCUUGCUGGUUUAAUUGUGUCAUACUUUUAAAGAGCAAAAGAGCUACGAAAAAGAAACAGAAAAACCUUUGUAGUUCAGAUACAUUUUACAGCAGUGGUUCUCAACUGGUCCGGCUCCGGGACCCACCAUCACCUCUUAAUGACAAGCCGCGACCCAAAUCGAGGAACAUUCUCAACUUCUCAAAUUUAUUUAAUGAAAAUAUGGUGCAGUUUGAACCUGGAGAUAGUAUGGAGACAGAAUACGUAUGCCAACACAACAAAGGCCCGCGACCCAUUAAAAACGGGUCCACGACACACUAGUGGGUCGCGACCCAACAGUUGAGAAUCACUGUUUUACAGCAUUUAGUAGUGUGCUACUUGGUAAACAUUUCCUCAAUCGGGAUUUGUAAAAGCAGCACCCACGAGCUGCAGAGGAAAUACAACAUAAGCGGUAGAUUGCAAUAAAUACAUCCAUGUAAAAAAAAAAAAAAAAAAAAAUAGACUAGCAUUAUUUUUUUUAAAGAAUCAGGAGAAUAAUCCUGAACAUCAUAUAGAAAUGACAAAUGAACAAAAUCCUGAUUUAUCCCUUUGACCAAUAUCCAGUGUAAUGAUUUUUCUGCACGUCUCCCCGAGCGAACAUUCUGUUCCUAAGCCAACUUUGAAACUGUAACUCUGGCUUAACAGGCACAAAACAGCUGACCCAAACACACACACACACACACACUCACACACACACACUCACACGGUAUAUUACCGUUCCACCAGGGAACUAAACUGCUUACAGGACACACUGGUCCUUAAUGACCUACGGUGUGUGUGUGUAUGUGUGUGUGGCACGAAUGUGUGGACACAAACAACUUUUGCAUCUGCAUUUCCACAAGUCUCCCAUAGCGUGGGUGAGUGUGUCCUUCGGUGCUCCCGAGCAUGACUUUGUUGCGUGCAGGUUUUGUUCCUCUGACUGCACCCUUGUGUGUGUGUGUGUUUGGAUCAAUAAAACUAUAGCUGUAAUAAGCCACCUAAGCUGCUGUGACAGUAUUCCAGCUGUUCCCUGGAGAACAGAUAUGAGAAACUGUUGUCUAAUUUACCUGAGCAGCACAAACCCCGCCCAACACACACACACACACACACACACACACACACACACACGAAGCAAAACACAAGAAGCACUACUACGGCAAAAGUAUUUAUUAACUAUUUUGAACUAUUUAUUGUUGGAGUGAUGAAUUAUUGUUGCAUCUCUUUGCUCACGCUGCGGCGCUACACUGCUCGCAAACUGUGGUUAAGUUUAACAAAUGAUGGUGAAUAUCAUACUGUAUUUUUGCAUCAAGGACAGAAAUUUCUCAAAAAAGUAUUAAUCAGUUAACAAUAGUUUUAAAGUGACUUGCAUGAGAAGCGGAAUCAAAGAUCAACAUAUAAUCAAUUUGAUGUACUUUUUACUGAACCUGCAAGGUCUGCCAUCUCUUACUGUAGAUCUUCUACCGGCACCGCUAAUGUGAGCGUGUGUGUGUGUGUGUGUGUGUAAGGUUUUGUUGUGCACUUCAGGGAGAAACCUUUUCAUUAUUGAAUCUUUAAAAAUGUUUUCUAUUGAAAUGGAUGUUUUGGGUCAGCUUCUUCGUCAACAGGGGCUAAUGGUCAUCUUCCCGUUGUCGCCCACAGUAUCUGUGACUCUCAUCGGUCAUUAUUAAUAACAUGAAAGCCAUUAGCCUGUAGACGAGAUCACAGCACUACUAACUGUUGUGCUUGUCAGAGGUUACUGUAACAAAUAGGAUCUUGUUUUUCAGUGGUCAGCCGACAACCGCUCUAAUCAAUUACAUGCUCAAAUUCCAGCAACUAUUUAUCUAGUUAUUAGACUAAAUACACGUUAUUAAUCUGCUAUUACUGAGUUUAAUCAUAUCACACAACGUGGAAAGAAAAGGUGAAAGUUCAAGUUAUUUCACAAAGUGUAACUGUCCACUAGAUUGAAUCCAGUACAGUGUUACUUCCUGUUUACACAAACUUACAUACACACACACACAGAAAUUGUAUCAGUCUAUCCACCUAUUUCUUAAAACGUUACCUCGCGCCAUGGACAUGAACAUUGACAUUCUCACUGCAAGAUAGAGAUGCAAAUCACAUCUCAUCUCUCCCUUUAAAUAUAUAUAUAAAUAAAGGGAUAUGUGUUCAUGAUGGGAUUGGGAGGCAGAAGCAGACCAAUUAGGAAAUAAUGAUGGGGUGUUGGAAAGAGAGUAAGGGAUGCAUGAAAAACAGCUCUGAGAUGAACAGAUACCUGCGAGAUGAAAACAAUCACACCGGCAUCCACGCGUGAAAGAAUAUGAUAACAACCGAGUCAAAAAAUGAACUCGCAUACAGCUCCCUGGACAGGAGAACUGAAUGAUGCAAGUACGGGAAAAGAACAGCUCGGGGUAUCUGAUGGUCUGUCCACUCCCUCCUCUGUGUUUAUUGUUGUCUUCCACCCCAGGCUAAUCUUAGUCACGGCUGUCUGUGUGUGUGCGAAGGAGAACCAGCCAAGACUGAUACAGUGGUGUAUUAAAGGAAAACCAGUAAGCUUCUAGUUUGCCUCUGUCUGUCUAUAUAUAUACACACAUAUGGCAUUGGUCUCUCCCUGCUUUUAUCUCUUAUAGAAUAUACAUGACACCAUCAUUACUGGAGUGGAAGAGAAGAAGAGAACGGAAUAUUAAUCAUCAUUGGAUGACUCAUAAUGUGUGUUAUGAGCUCAUGUCCUAGAGCAUCUGUGUGUGUGUAUACAUGUGUAUAUGUUUGUUCAUAAAACAAUGCUGUGUGUGGUCAUGCAUUUAUAUGUUUGGGUAUAUUAUGUGCAUCCAUGUUUCUUUACAUGCAUCUCUGUACUUUUAUUUUUAAAUUUUCCUCAAGGUGCUAUAUAAAUAUGAUCAAUUCAAUUACUGUUAAAAGAUUGGAUGUUGGGAUUGAAUUGCUUCCGUGUGUCCAUCUUCUGUCGCUCUGCCUUGUUAUUUACGUUAAACAACAUUCUCAUGGUGCUAAAAGGCGACAUUAUUGAACUUGGCACAAACAUGACCCAUUGCUACAGACACUUUAGAUCUAGCGAGAAAAACAACGGGAGGUGAUCAUGAAGAAACUGUGACCACAUACGAGGUGGCACUUUAAUUGUUGAAGUGUUUAUUUUUAUGAACUGAAACGGCUUCAUGUGUCAAAGUCAUUCAGUCCUUCAGUUAAAGUGCUGCUGCAUUUUGCUGUGUCGUGCUUCUCCGCUCGCCUCACAAAGAACACAACUCAAACCAGCCUGAAUGCUACAGCAACAUGUUUAUGACUUCAGUUCUCGGUUAUCUCGGAGUUAUCAAGCAUUCAGAGGGAUGCUUCUUGUCACAAGCUCAAACUAAAUGUGUAAUGCGUAAUACAUGAUCACAAUUUUCUACAUGCUCGGCUGCCUAGAGCAAAUAGUGCCCCAAAAAAUUCUAUUACUCCUACUCCAACCACACAACUUCAUCCAUAUCACAGAACUGAUAACGGUUUAUCAGUUGCGUAUUGUGUGUCAAAUUAAGGGAAUACCUCAAAAACACGAAAAUAAUUAAGUGGUAUGUAUAUUUUUGGUAUUUGUGCAGCAUAUAUUUUAAACAGCUGUAGCUUGUGUUGCAUAGUCAUGUGUGUGUUGAUUGAUUUGAUUAUUCUGUGCACACACACACACACACUGUGGUGGUGUGUGUUCGGUGCAGAGCACAGGAGACUGUUGCUGUUAAAAAAUGCACAUCCUGCUCUGUUGCACAAGCUGCUGCUGCAUGGCAGACAAAGUGGGUCAGCACCCUCACACACACACACACACACACACACACACACACACACACACACACACACACACACGCACGCACAUAAACACACGCGCACACUGGGGACAUUGGCAGAGUUGCAUUCGUAUGUUUUCCCUUAGCGUCUCUCUCGGUCUUUCUUUGACUAUCUUGUUCAGGCACACUUUGAAACGCCCCAAUAAGAGCUUUCCUCUUGCGUUUGGCAAUAUUCUCUCCAGCUGUUCCAGUACAGAACACAUGGGGAAGAAGAGUAAAUGAGAGGGGAGCAGACCCAGUAUUGUGCUGCAAAGAAACAAUGGUAGAGAUGAAAAGGAGAAGAAGAAUAAAGAUGAAAUGAAAAGAAAAAAAAAAGACUUAACUCAAUGAGAGGAGAGGAAAAGAAGGGAAGGUUAAGGGAAGGAAAGGAGGAGGGGCGCAAAGAGGUGAUGAAACAAAAAGAGAGGCGAUCCGUGGAGGGAGAAAAGAAUAGGAAAGGAAAGGACAAAUGAGAAAUUCACAGAAGAGGACGGAAGAAAGGAAAGGAAAUUUGAGGGAGAGGGAAGGAAAGGAGAAGAGAGGAAAGGAGAAAAAUUGAAAUGAAAGGAAAUGGAAAAAGAAUAGAGAGAAGGAUGUAGAAAAAAAAAAGACAGGAGGAUAAGAGAAUAACAACAGAGGGAUAAACCGAGACAAAUAAAAAAGAUUCUAGUUCAACAAUCUUCUUUUUGUUCAAAGGGAACACUGAUUAUUUUCCAAAUGAGCCUCUUGAUUAACUUACCGUUGUGUAACAAAAGGGCUGAUGGCAGUUUCAGUUCUGCGUGUCCAGUAGUUAAUUAGAUCACAAAGACGCCUGCUAAAGUUUUAGCACCCUGAGACUGUUUGUUGGACCAUAAAAACUAGUGUUGCAUCAUGUCAGAAAAACUAAGCAAACACACACAGACUUGUGUGGGGAUCAAAGGGUGUGAGUCGGGGAAAAGUCACUUUCUGUCUCUGAGGAGAAAGAAUAACAACCAGUGCAUCAACCCCCCUCACGAAAAAACACAACUGGGGGAAUGUGGAGGGGCAGGUGUGAUGACACUACAUGCACGCACACUGACAAACACGCUGCACAAAACGUGUCUCACACUCACACAUGUACACACACACACACACACACACACACACACACACACACACACACACACACAGACAGCAUGAACUAGAAGUCCUUCCUGAGACACCUGUUAUGAAACCAGAUUGUUGUUUGCUAUCGAUGACAAAAUGAAUGCGCACAGGUGUUUCCACACCUAGUGGGGGACACACACACAUAGAGACACACACGCACAACCUAUUAUGUCCCAAUAUUUCUUGGCAGCACCAUUUAGUUCUCAAUAGUAAAAGCCAGUAAAACUAUAAUAAUGAAAGUCUGUCUUUCCUCAUUUAGAACAAGUGAAGUUUUCUACUGAAAACAGCACUGAUGAAAUGCUUUGAAACCCUUUGAUGUUUUAUAACGCUUGUAUUGAGUGUGUGAUAUACAGCAUCUAUCCACUGAUCCCAUGAAGCUCCUCGGGCUGCACACAACGAGUCACACACAUUGUUGCGCGGUACAGUUAUUUAUUAUGGAGACAGUGACACAAUUUUCAAGUACAGGUCACUUUGCACUUUGAGACCUUUGUAGUCCUGCAGGAAGUCUUCCAUCACGUACAAAAAUGCUUUUUUCCCCCAUGUGUGUAAAUUAAUAUGGUCUUUUGUGUCCAAAUCUUACUUUCAUGUCCUUCAAGUAAAUUAAAACUAGCAAAAGAUAUAAUCACAAGUCAAAGCAAAGCAGCAAACAAUAGUGAUGCUCCACUUCUUUGUGAAGCUCAGAACUUUAUUUUACCGGUUACAAAGCUAAUCAGCUGCUUAACAAAGCAUGUCAACAUACCUGAGAAGGACGCUUCGGUCUGUUUAGAUGCUUGUGUUGUUUACUCACCUUGUAUCUUGUUCCUGAAACCGCCCUGAUUGCAGGUUUUGGUCAAUCCAAGUCAGAGGUUUAUCCAACUUAUGCAGACUAACUCUCUGAUAUUCUCGAUAUAUCCAAGAACUUCUUUUCCGUUUCGAGUGUCAUUGGGGAGCUUUUACUACCCGGCCCGUGUUGCCGGGCCAACUGGAGGAGAGGAAGGCAGAGAGGACCAGCACGUAUGAGCGGGGAAGAUUGGCAGACUCGACUACAGUAAAAUGAGAGGUCUUCUAAGUGGACUGAAACUCCAACGGGAGCGUGAACACUGAACCAGAGUUUGACAUGGUGGCCUUAAAUAAUACAUUUUGAAAAAGGGCCUGAAUAUAACUGAAAUAAACAUGUUUGUGUUGUGUUUUGACUUUGCAAGGACGUUUUGUAUAUUUGCCCUACAAGCUUACAAGCCUAGAGAAUGCACAACAACCAACAUAUUUCAAAUUAAGUCCACCAAUUUUUCUUGGACAGAGCAUCCAGCGUCACUGGUGAAAUAUCUGUCUGUGUUAUCCAAACUUUGUAAACCUGGUAACAAUCCCUCUCAAAAUGUGUGUUAAUUAUUAUCAGCCCCAGCAGGCCUUUGAAGACACAGACAGCGUGUUUGAGUCUGAGAGGAAAGACUUGAUCACUGCUGUAAAUCAAAAAAAAUGUCAUUUUCACCAUCUUUCAUUCCCUUCAUGUCUGCGGAGACGAUGUGACAUCCUGUCUGAGGAGGGACAGAGAGAGAGAGACUGACAUUCCCAAUUAAAAACCUCCAGUCCUCUAUUUCUUUCUUCCUUUACGUUAUUUUAUAGCCUCUACAACUCAAAUGUAUUAAUUCAAUCACUUCUUCACACAUACUCGCUUAUACGCUUAUUUUCCUUUGUCAUAUUUUGUACUCUCCGUUUGUCCUUACGCUCUCUCUACAUUUUCCCGUGUUACUCUUCAACCCUCGUCACCGGGCCUCUAUCAUCUGAUCAGUAGAAUUAAUGGCUUUAUUUCCAUCGUAUCACCAUGGUGAUGAAUCAUGUUGUUAAUCAUCAUAUCGCUGAGGUGACGGAUCAUGUCAUUAAUCAGGAUUUAUUUUCUAGGCUAUAGCAGCAUGUUAAAAGAAAGCAAACCCACACAAUGGUGAUUAGCAAUUAACACAACCUCAUACACACACACACACACACACACACACACCCCGGCGGCCUCCCGCAGAGUUGGAGCAUCGCCAGGCAGAAGAGUGACUUCAUUCCUGUUGGCUUAAUCAAACUGUCACUAGUUAGAUAAGAGCAGAUGCACAGAAGUCCAUGCUUCUCACACACACACACACACACACACACACACACACACACUCACACACAUACAC
This is a long non-coding RNA of Gasterosteus aculeatus aculeatus (three-spined stickleback), 11198 nucleotides long. The record is from Ensembl. NCBI's taxonomy places the organism in Eukaryota, Metazoa, Chordata, Actinopteri, Perciformes, Gasterosteidae.